Molecule: ribosomal RNA, 255 nt
Filed under: uncultured bacterium
Lineage: Bacteria
Description: partial 16S ribosomal RNA
Rfam family: Bacterial small subunit ribosomal RNA
Source: RNAcentral
UCUUUCUUUGCUGGCGACCGGCGCACGGGUGAGUAACACGUAUCCAACUUGCCCUUUACUCGGGGAUAGCCUUUCGAAAGAAAGAUUAAUACCCGAUAGCAUAAUGAUUCCGCAUGGUUUCAUUAUUAAAGGAUUCCGGUAAAGGAUGGGGAUGCGUUCCAUUAGGUUGUUGGUGAGGUAACGGCCCACCAAGCCUUCGAUGGAUAGGGGUUCUGAGAGGAAGGUCCCCCACAUUGGAACUGAGACACGGUCCAA